Molecule: transfer RNA, 74 nt
Filed under: candidate division WWE3 bacterium
Lineage: Bacteria; candidate division WWE3
Description: tRNA-Gln
Rfam family: tRNA
About the family: Transfer RNA (tRNA) molecules are approximately 80 nucleotides in length. Their secondary structure includes four short double-helical elements and three loops (D, anti-codon, and T loops).
Source: RNAcentral
UCCGGGAUCGUCUAAUGGUAGGACGGUAGACUCUGAAUCUACUAAUCCUGGUUCGAGUCCAGGUCCCGGAGCCA